Molecule: ribosomal RNA, 565 nt
Filed under: Varicellaria rhodocarpa
Lineage: Eukaryota; Fungi; Ascomycota; Lecanoromycetes; Pertusariales; Pertusariaceae
Description: SSU rRNA
Rfam family: Eukaryotic small subunit ribosomal RNA
Source: RNAcentral
CAUUCAAAUUUCUGCCCUAUCAACUUUCGAUGGUAAGAUAGAGGCUUACCAUGGUCUUAACGGGUAACGGGGAAUUAGGGUUCUAUUCCGGAGAGGGAGCCUGAGAAACGGCUACCACAUCCAAGGAAGGCAGCAGGCGCGCAAAUUACCCAAUCCCGACACGGGGAGGUAGUGACAAUAAAUACUGAUACGGGGCUCUUUUGGGUCUCGUAAUUGGAAUGAGUACAAUCUAAAUCCCUUAACGAGGAACAAUUGGAGGGCAAGUCUGGUGCCAGCAGCCGCGGUAAUUCCAGCUCCAAUAGCGUAUAUUAAAGUUGUUGCCGUUAAAAAGCUCGUAGUUGAACCUUGGGCCUGGCUGACCUGUCCUCCUAAUCGAGCGCACGGGUUCGGUCGGGCCUUUCCUUCUAGGGAACCCCAUGCCCUUCACUGGGUGUGGUGGGGAACUAGGACUUUUACCUUGAAAAAAUUAGAGUGUUCAAAGCAGGCCUUUGCUCGAAUACAUUAGCAUGGAAUAAUAGAAUAGGACAUCGGUUCUAUUUUGUUGGUUUCUAGGACCGCCGUAAUG